Molecule: small RNA, 557 nt
Filed under: Pan troglodytes (chimpanzee)
Lineage: Eukaryota; Metazoa; Chordata; Mammalia; Primates; Hominidae
Description: processed transcript
Source: RNAcentral
AUUUCCUGUUUUGUAUGUAUAUCGAUUCCGCUCCUCUUCUUUCCGCCAGUUUUUGUAGAGACAGCAUCUUGUUGUCCAGGCUGGUCUCGAACUCUGGGGCUGAAGUGAUUCUCCCUCUUCAGCCUCCCAGAGUUCUGGGAUUAUAGGCACGAGCCACCAUGCCCAGCCUUAAUGUUGAAAACAGCCUUCCACAGAAGUCAGACGCUGGGCUACAGGAACGGCUAUGCAAUUGUUCGACGUCCAACAGUUGGGAUAGGCGGAGACCGGCUCCAGUUCAACCAGCUGUCCCAGGCUGAGCUGGAUGAGUUGGCCAGUAAGGCACCAGUCUUAACUUAUGGCCAACCUAAACAAGCCCCACCUGCGGAUUUUAUUCCUGCGCAUGUGGCCUUUGACAAAAAGCUAUUGUAAAAGGGGUUGAGUUAUUGAUUUGAUUCUCAGCUUGGUCGCUGUUGGUGUAAAGAAGAGCUACUGAUAUGUGUAUAUUAAUUUUGUAUCCCGAAACUUCGCUGAAUUCUUUUAUCAGUUCUAGGAGCUUUCUGGAGGAGUCUUUAGGAUUU